Molecule: ribosomal RNA, 1174 nt
Filed under: Enterococcus faecium
Lineage: Bacteria; Bacillati; Bacillota; Bacilli; Lactobacillales; Enterococcaceae
Description: bacterial SSU rRNA
Rfam family: Bacterial small subunit ribosomal RNA
Source: RNAcentral
AAGUCGAACGCUUCUUUUUCCCCGGAGCUUGCUCCACCGGAAAAAGAAGAGUGGCGAACGGGUGAGUAACACGUGGGUAACCUGCCCAUCAGAAGGGGAUAACACUUGGAAACAGGUGCUAAUACCGUAUAACAAUCAAAACCGCAUGGUUUUGAUUUGAAAGGCGCUUUCGGGUGUCGCUGAUGGAUGGACCCGCGGUGCAUUAGCUAGUUGGUGAGGUAACGGCUCACCAAGGCCACGAUGCAUAGCCGACCUGAGAGGGUGAUCGGCCACAUUGGGACUGAGACACGGCCCAAACUCCUACGGGAGGCAGCAGUAGGGAAUCUUCGGCAAUGGACGAAAGUCUGACCGAGCAACGCCGCGUGAGUGAAGAAGGUUUUCGGAUCGUAAAACUCUGUUGUUAGAGAAGAACAAGGAUGAGAGUAACUGUUCAUCCCUUGACGGUAUCUAACCAGAAAGCCACGGCUAACUACGUGCCAGCAGCCGCGGUAAUACGUAGGUGGCAAGCGUUGUCCGGAUUUAUUGGGCGUAAAGCGAGCGCAGGCGGUUUCUUAAGUCUGAUGUGAAAGCCCCCGGCUCAACCGGGGAGGGUCAUUGGAAACUGGGAGACUUGAGUGCAGAAGAGGAGAGUGGAAUUCCAUGUGUAGCGGUGAAAUGCGUAGAUAUAUGGAGGAACACCAGUGGCGAAGGCGGCUCUCUGGUCUGUAACUGACGCUGAGGCUCGAAAGCGUGGGGAGCAAACAGGAUUAGAUACCCUGGUAGUCCACGCCGUAAACGAUGAGUGCUAAGUGUUGGAGGGUUUCCGCCCUUCAGUGCUGCAGCUAACGCAUUAAGCACUCCGCCUGGGGAGUACGACCGCAAGGUUGAAACUCAAAGGAAUUGACGGGGGCCCGCACAAGCGGUGGAGCAUGUGGUUUAAUUCGAAGCAACGCGAAGAACCUUACCAGGUCUUGACAUCCUUUGACCACUCUAGAGAUAGAGCUUCCCCUUCGGGGGCAAAGUGACAGGUGGGUGCAUGGUUGUCGUCAGCUCGUGUCGUGAGAUGUUGGGUUAAGUCCCGCAACGAGCGCAACCCUUAUUGUUAGUUGCCAUCAUUCAGUUGGGCACUCUAGCAAGACUGCCGGUGACAAACCGGAGGAAGGUGGGGAUGACGUCAAAUCAUCAUGCCCCUUAU